This 1086-nucleotide ribosomal RNA is filed under the name Triticum aestivum (bread wheat). RNAcentral's name for it is "partial small subunit ribosomal RNA". Lineage: Eukaryota; Viridiplantae; Streptophyta; Magnoliopsida; Poales; Poaceae. The record is from RNAcentral.
AUGAAGACCUUCCUCAUCUUUGCCCUCCUCGCCGUUGCGGCGACAAGUGCCAUUGCACAAAUGGAGAAUAGCCACAUCCCUGGUUUGGAGAGACCAUCGCAGCAACAACCAUUACCACCACAACAAACAUUAUCGCACCAACAACCACAACAACCCAUCCAACAACAACCACAACAAUUUCCACAACAGCAACCAUGUUCACAACAACAACAACAACAACAACAACAACAACAACAACAACAACAACAACAACAACAACAACAACAACAACAACCAUUAUCGCAGCAACAACAACCACCAUUUUCACAGCAACAACAACCACCAUUUUCACAGCAACAACCACCAUUUUCGCAGCAACAACAACCAGUUCUACCGCAACAGCCAUCAUUUUCGCAGCAACAACUACCACCAUUUUCACAACAACAACCACCGUUUUCACAACAACAACAACCAGUACUACCGCAACAACCACCAUUUUCGCAACAACAACAACAACAACCAAUUCUACCACAACAACCAUCAUUUUCGCAACAACAACAACAACUAGUUCUACCGCAACAACAAAUACCAUUUGUUCAUCCAUCUAUCUUGCAGCAGCUGAACCCAUGCAAGGUAUUCCUCCAGCAGCAAUGCAGCCCUGUGGCAAUGCCACAAAGUCUUGCUAGGUCGCAAAUGUUGCAGCAGAGUAGUUGCCAUGUGAUGCAACAACAAUGUUGCCAGCAGUUGCCGCAAAUCCCCCAGCAAUCCCGCUAUGAGGCAAUCCGUGCUAUCAUCUACUCCAUCGUCCUGCAAGAACAACAACAGGUUCGGGGUUCCAUCCAAACUCAGCAGCAGCAACCGCAACAGUUGGGCCAAUGCGUUUCCCAACCCCAACAGCAGUCACAGCAGCAACUCGGGCAACAACCUCAACAACAACAAUUGGCACAGGGUACCUUUUUGCAGCCACACCAGAUAGCUCAGCUUGAGGUGAUGACUUCCAUUGCGCUCCGUACCCUGCCAAUGAUGUGCCGUGUCAAUGUGCCGUUGUAUAGGACCACCACUAGUGUGCCAUUUGGCGUUGGCACUGGAGUUGGUGCCUACUGAUAA